This is a long non-coding RNA of Dicentrarchus labrax (European seabass), 2649 nucleotides long. RefSeq lists it as uncharacterized. The transcript has 3 exons. The record is from RefSeq and is a predicted model, not a curated record. NCBI's taxonomy places the organism in Eukaryota, Metazoa, Chordata, Actinopteri, Moronidae.
UCAAAACUGGAAUGUCAGCUUUAGUACUGCAGCAGGGGGCUUUUGGCUGCUCUUUUUAAAAAUCUCAUGAGAAGGGACAUAUAAGUACCAUCGGGUUGAGCUGCUUCUCCAUUAGCUUAAUUGUAUAUGUGCUGCCUGAUUGUCAUCCCAACAUUUAGCAAGAGCUGAACCUAUAUUUUCAGAAAAUAGUGCUGACAUGAAGAGGUGAGUCUUGUUUGAAUUUUUCUUUAUGCUCAGUGUGAAUAACAUUGUGCUUGUGUGUUUACCUGGAUGACCUAAUAUAAUAAUAUUACUGAUACCCCCCCUUCCUAUACCUUUAAAAUAUCUAUUUUUAGAAUUUUCCUUAUGAUUAUGGAUGUUUUGAUUGCUACACAUACAUGCUGCCAUAGCUGUACAAACUCUGGCAAAAAUGCCUAUACCAAAAGUGCUUACAAAUGAUUACAAGCGAUAUUUUAAAUCUGUCUACUGUAAAAGUAAAUAGCUGCUGUAGUAUGCUGCCUGGUUUAGCAAAUGCAUGUGCACUCAACCUGCUCUAACUCCUGUGAAGCUUUGAAACCCCUCAGAUUUUCUAUUUCUCUGUAACGUUAAAUAUUCAUGACUAAAUUUAAAAAAGAACAACAUUGUUAUUAUUUAUUAAGAGAAUAAGACUCAAAAACUAUAAUAACUUACAUAAUCUGCUAAUCUGUGAUCAGUUGCUUAUAAUAAGAAGCUGAGAAAAUAUAUUUUCAGUUGCUUUAAACAACUAGAAAAUUGUAUAAAGGCUGAAAUGUCCAUUUAAAACAUGGACUUGCACCAUAAUAUUAUUAGAUAUUGAAUCUUAAAAUUUCCCCCCCAAAUUUUAAAUAUUUACAGCCUGUCCUGAUACCCCACUGAAAAUAAAACCUGCUGUCUUGGAAAGUAAGUGUUUUAUUUUUAGUUGUACACAUGCUCCAGCAUAUGUUCAGAAAGGUUCUGUGCUCCAGCAGCGAUCUUGGCUCUUGGUGGAUCUUGAAAAUGAACUAGACAACGCAUAUGGUAAAAGCAAAACAGCCUGCAACAGGAGACAUCUUGGCAGGAGUCAUUUUGCAUUAAAGGAUACCCACUCUUCUCUCCUCCCACUGAAUAGUUUUGCAAUUUUAGCUCAUUACAUUUAUAGUUUAAUGUUUGGCUGAGGCUCCCAUCUGAUUUAAUUAAUUCUAAAUUGUGGGGGAGGGGACGUUGUAGACAAAAUAACUGUCAAUAGAUCCUGAAUAUCUUUCCUAGUCACUGUCCCUGAGACUUUAAAAACUGUUGCUGCAGGCUGCUCUACAGUAAACUUCUCUUGCUCUAUACAAAUAAGAGCCAUGCUUCAAAACAUCAUUACAUAUAACCAGUAUGAAGGCAGGCUGACUGUCACUGCAGGCAACAUAACAAGUCACCAGGCUUAAAAUUAGAGACGAGCUAUCUGAAAUGUUGGACUACUCUAGCAGAAAGGAAAUAUAUCCAGCUUUUCACCCUGAGUCAACCCUUAGAGUUUGUGCUGAUACUCGCCUUCCUGUGUCUUUCUUUUACUCUUUACUGUUGAUGUUAUGCUUGUAUAUGUCUCACUCUGUUAUGUUCUGCACACACAAUCAUAAAGGACAAAAUAAUAUUAAUAUAAUUUUGACAGGUGAGUCUGUUUUCCUAAUAUGUUGUUUUUAUCUAAUAAUAACUAACAUAACAUAAUUAAAAAGAUCCUUGUGACAUUUAUUUGCUCCCGUAGACUUUGACAGUUUGUCAUAACUAACUCUGCUUUAUUGCACACUGACAUUAACAGAAAAAAGAUUUUGUGUGUGAAUUCUUCGCUGUCCAUGCAUGGUCAAACCUUGUGAUGUUUGACUGUAAUUUCAUCUUUGCAUGUGCAUAACACCACAUCCCUUGACAUUUCUUAAAGCUGACCUCUUCUCGUAUUAACAGCAUGGAAUACAGUAACACUCUCCAGAAGAUGCCAGCUGAGUUAUUUGAAGUUUGUUGAAAAGAAGACAAACGAAUUGUGCAGUGUGUCAGUGGUACGUGACAUGUCCAAGUGAUUCUCAGCCACCCACCGCAGAUGACUGCACCACUGACCACAUACUCUCAAAAUGGCAUCUGGUAGCUUCUCGAAUGUCCCUCACUGCAUUUCUCCACACAUCACUGACUGUAGCUGUGUGUACAAGACAGAAAGUAGCUUCAGCUGUGUAACUCACACAAAACCGAGCCUGAUGACAAGGCCUUUCGGUGUCAAGUGAGCUCUAAUGGUGGUACUCCUUCAAAUCCACGUCUCAGUGGAGUUGCUCAUUUGUUCAGCUGGCUGACAAGUCGAUGCAUAUAUGUUGUUCCGAACAUGUAGGAAGCUUUAGCAUGGUAUGUGUUGCAGUAUGUUUUGAUCAGUCUGUGUAUUCUCCACUUUCUAGUCUUAUUUCUUAAAUUGAUUGUGUCCUUUCAGACCUAGAAAGCGUAACUGCAUUGAAGAGAGGUGCUUUUUACAGACUCACAAUGUGAAACACAGACAGUGUUUCCUUGCUGAACUGCGGUGGAUGGAUGGUAACACAAAGAGGGAAUUUGCACUAAAAAGACUUGUCUUAGAUAACAUGCUUGUCCAAGUUCUCCCCUUGUGUGCCAUUACUCUGAUGUUAACUGUGUUCCCCAAUAAAGCUUUCAGGUAUAUGUAGA